Molecule: long non-coding RNA, 1705 nt
Organism: Triticum aestivum (bread wheat)
Lineage: Eukaryota; Viridiplantae; Streptophyta; Magnoliopsida; Poales; Poaceae
Exons: 3
Source: RefSeq, a predicted model, not a curated record
GUCUUUUUUUUUUCUCCUCAUCCCCUACCUCCAGCGUGUUCUUCCUGGAGACCAAUCCCGAUCCAAAUCCUCCGUGGAUUCGGCUCGGAUCUUGCAGCUCUUGCCUCCCACCUCCAUAUAAAUACUCCCCACGUCCGGAUCGACUGAGUUUUGGCAAAAUCGUAGCCUCCUGUGCCCUAGGUCGAUUUCGCGAUCUCGCCGGAGUUCCACCGCUGUUGACCUCCGCCGUCGUCGCUUCCGUCGCCACCAUCGGGAUUCACCGAACCGAGUGCUACAACCUCGACCAGAAGCAGAGCACCGCCGCCGUCGCUCCAGUCGCCCAUCGACGCCACCACAGGGCGUGAUCCUCCCAGAAGAGGCCCCCUUUGUCUUCACAGGAGAGUUCCGCGACCGCCCGUCCUUUCCUCCACCACCAGAGCAGGCGCCACCAUCGCCGCCCCGCGCCGUUCUUCCUCAAGUCCGACGGCCAGCCUCUGUUCUUCUCCGAUUGUCCGGACUGCGAAGCGGAUCAGAAUUAAUUGUUAGAGUACUUCAACACCGUUCAAGGCAAGUUUGCACAUUUGAUUUUGCUCAUCCUAUAUUCUGCUAUGCAUGUGUGGUUUUUAUGCUAUGAUAUAUGUUUGGUUGAUCAUUAUAUUUCGUGCUGUCAUGUUUUGGUACUGAUUGUGUUAUGUGAUGGUGUGAUCAACUUGCUAUAAUAGACGUGGGCAUGUGUCGAGUGAUCCAUGAAAGUGGUGAGUGUUUAUAGCCGUAGGCUCGGGAUUAUUAACCAGGUGAAUGCGUCACUGGCAGAGCGCUCUAUUGUCCCUAGAGAAUGCGUCAUUGACAGAGCGCAGUUGAGGCGAGCUUUAGUUUCGGAACUUAAAUCAGGUGAAUGCGUCCUUGCCAGAGUGCUCUAUUGUUCUUAGAGAAUGCACCACUGACAGAGCGCACUUGAGAUACUUCUGAAGUUCUUGUCAUGUUUACUUAGAAUCUUUGGGGUUAUCUUGGGCGAAUGAAUUAGGGGCGGUUGUGAGUUCAGGUAGUGGAGGUAGGUGAAGACUUUCUUCUCCAAAUUAACUUGAGUGUUUUGUUUGUCAUACUUUACUUGUGGAUGUAGGUUUGCUAUAUCAUAUUGUGUGAUUUGCCAAUACAAUCAAUGUAUUGACCCUUGUGGCUGCAACUUAUCAUGUUGCAGGAUUUUCAGAUGAUCAUUGAGAUACAGUAGGGUCGCGAGUCUUCACUCAGCAUUUCGCCAGUGGGCAUUGAUGGGACUCAUCAUUUGAUUAUGCUACAUUUCCGUUGUUAUUAUUGAGUAAAGCUAGUUAUGUACUAUGAGUUUGUAAUACUUUAUAAAUUCUGGAUCAUACGUUAUAGUAAAUGAUGCAUUUGUUAUUUGAUAUUCAUAUGUACUGUGUGUGCUAGCGAAUCGAUCCAGGGACUAGCACAGUGAGCACAGAGAUAUCGAAUCUUUUCAUUUGAUAUUCAUAUUAACUGUAGGUUGUGACCCUAGAACUUUUCAUCUGUACUAGUUUUCUUAGGGAACUUUUCAUCCACUCCAACAUCUUGUGAAGAUCGGAGAUGGCAUGUUAAUGCUCAUGUUAAUCAUGUCAGAUUGAAGAUGGCAUGUUAGCGCAUUUUACAAAUCCUGCAUACCAAAUAGGCAUGUAGUAGUGUUCAAAACUGCAUCUAGGCACUAACACGUUUUCUUCUUUUGCAGAUAAGA